ACAUAUACCACCAAAUCUAAAUUUUACCAUCAGCCAUUACAUCGAUCAAAGUGAUUGGUUUUGAUACAAAAGUAGGCUAACACAAGCCUAUUACCAUCUACCAAAUACCAUCAAACUUAAUACUCAUAGUUUAAUGUCUGAGUAUACAAAAGAAGGUAGAAUGCAAGGGCUAUUACCAUCUAAAAGCUAUCCAUUAUAGCCAUUCAUUUUCUAAGUAUGCAAAGAAAAGGUUGAACACAGGGCUAAUACCAACAGCCAACACACAACCAUCAUCGCACAACUCAACCAUUAAAAGUGGUGGCAAUAUAUCUUGCAACCCAAGUGACCUUGUGGGCAAAUUCAAGGGUAACAAACACCCUUGCAGUUGGAGGAUUGUCA
RNAcentral lists this long non-coding RNA (378 nucleotides) under Oryza brachyantha (malo sina). RNAcentral's name for it is "long non-coding RNA (OBRA_LNC000827)". Lineage: Eukaryota; Viridiplantae; Streptophyta; Magnoliopsida; Poales; Poaceae. The record is from RNAcentral.